ACGUAGUUUGUAAAAACUCGGUAGUCUCUGCAGCUUCGACGACGACAGCUUCGUUGUCAGCACCAGGAAAUUGGUUCGGUGCCGGAGUUUCCGGAGCUGACUGGACGAGGUUUGGUAGAACCGUCGUAGUUACCGCAGGAAAAAUUCAACGCCGUGGCUCAAGCUUCGUGACGUGAAAUGAUACCUGUUUCCUCCUCGUCGUCGUCGUCGUCGUCGUCAGCGUCAUGGAUGGCGAUCGUUUCCUCCUCCACGCUCUCCGGAACGUCGUUGCUCGACUGAAGAGGGACUUGCUGUGGUCUGACCAGGAAAUCCGGCCGACAGACGUCGCCGUCCCGACGCAUCGGCGAGGUGCAUUGACAUCGUCCGAAUAGAUCAGGGAUUAUGAAAUCGCAAUGAGUGUCGCUGUCCCAGAGAUGACAGUGCGAGUGGCUGUAACAAACGUCGCCAGGCCGAGCGGCUGGACGGAAAUUACGAGAUUACACAGGAGAAACGCUCGAGUUUAUCAUAUAUGUACGAUGCGAAUAUGUAUGAGGGAGAAGACAUUGCACGCAGAGACGUGACGAAUUAAUUAACUGCGCCAACGUCCGAGGAAGUCGGCCGUAUUAUCAUCCUGCGUAAGCAUUUAAUAAAUAUUUAUCAUAUGGUGGGUGGGAACGGGGUCGCUUAAUUAUUAUGAUUCGCGAAUCGCGCACUGCACUGCGUGAUACGUUUCGAAUGUUGUGUUUGCACGGGUCGGUGAACCGAGGACCAGGUCGUUACUUGAAAUGAAAACUCGAAGCAACCUAUAAGCCGUCCGCCUACCUAUCGCUUCAUAAAUUAUGGCAGAAGACGUAUACAAUAUAGAUGUCUAAUGAUGCUUGGCUACCGUUCGCAAUCCUUAGUCGUGCAAAGUACAAGGUACACUGUUAAGAAUUAUUGUGCAUUUUAUACUGUGCGAGAGUUGUCAAUUUACGAAAUAAGGUUGCAAGUUUAAAAAUUUGGCGCGGUGACCUAAAUGACUAUGUAUACGUCUUAGAUAUAGAAUGAAAGUUUUUAAUUUUAGUAAACCUUACAGGAGGAAGACGAAAAAAUUAUUUCAAUUUACUAAAUUGUGUAGCAAAUUUAUUUUAUUUGUAAAUUGAAUUUAUGGUGAACUCAUUGUUCCGUAUCCCAGUAAAACUUCAAAAUACAGCGUAGCAAGUUCCGUACAGAAAUUUUUAACAUUGAACGAAACCCUGACUAUAACGUGAACUUAUACCACACAGGGUUGAGUAGAAAUUGCAAAAGAACAAGAGAAGGAUUUGGAUAAAGAUCACACGAAGACACAUUUGCGUACGAAUUUCAUAUUACCUUCCUGAUCGUCAUCGGGUUUCUUGACCAGGGAAAAAAGAAACUUCCGCAGUAAAGCAACGUCGCUUAAAAUUUCUACUUCGAGUUUAGUCGGAGCCUUGGUGAAGUACGGAUGGUAAAAUUGAUAUACUAUACUCACGUCCGAGACACGUGUGUUUUCGGAACUGCAAAUAACCUUCCUCGCAUCUGCAGA
This is a long non-coding RNA of Neodiprion fabricii, 1522 nucleotides long. RefSeq lists it as uncharacterized. NCBI's taxonomy places the organism in Eukaryota, Metazoa, Arthropoda, Insecta, Hymenoptera, Diprionidae. The record is from RefSeq and is a predicted model, not a curated record. The transcript is spliced from 3 exons.